Molecule: long non-coding RNA, 4321 nt
Organism: Cygnus olor (mute swan)
Lineage: Eukaryota; Metazoa; Chordata; Aves; Anseriformes; Anatidae
Exons: 6
Source: RefSeq, a predicted model, not a curated record
UGAAGUGUGACUCAUUCUCCUCUCUCUUCCUUCUUUCUGCUUUUCUCUUUGCUUCUCCUUCACAAAACAUUUGGUCUGUCUUUUAAGAGGAUCAUUAUUGAACCACGAAUGAGUUCUCAGAUACUGAACAUGAACACAGAAGAGGAUGGAUACUCUCAUUUAAAUCACCUGCCACAGCAUCCAUCCAGACACUACAUGUCUGUGAGCAUCAACCAAGGGCGAUCUCUUCCCUUGGCUGUAUGGUUGCCAGCUAUCUUCACUUUGUUUGUACUGUGCCUGGCCCUCAUCAUAGGAAUGAUAGUCCUAGGUCUCAGAGGUUCUCAAGCACCUGUGGAACACAAUGAAACUUGCAAGGACUAAAAGAGAGAUUAUGCUCAGUGGGUGACAGGAACAUUAAGAACAACAGACCAGCAUGUUCACUGUGCCCUGUAAACUGGAAAUGGAUUGGAGGUGACACCUGUUUCUACAUUUCAGAAAAGGACGCAACAUGGCAAGAAAGUAAAGACUUUUGCUUUUCUCAGAAUUCCACCCUUCUUACACUGAAAAAGAAAAGCAAGUUGAUCAGAAUGUCUCAUAUAUUACAAAAACAAUCGUAUUGGACUGGAUUAUCCUAUGGAGUUGAUGGCUGGUCUUGGAUGGAUGAUACAAAACUUUCUACACAGAGGAUGGACUGGAUUGAUUUGUCCUCUAAGAAAAACUGUGCGUACCUAUACUAUCGUAAAUUAAAAGUUUACAGUAAGGAUUGUUAUGAGAAAUAUCCUUGGAUCUGUGAAAAGGCAGCAGUCCAGUUGAUCUAAAAAUAUUCUUCUGAUCAGCAGAAGGAGAACUGGAAGCAUAUGAAGAAGAUUGUCAUUUUCAGAUUUUUCAAAAAGAUGAUGUAAAAUAAUGUUUAAUAGAAAUUCAAAGCGGAGUCUAUCCUUCACAUACACUAAAAUAUAACAGAGAAAGGAAGCCUUUCCAGAUAAAUAGAAUCAGCAAUAACAAAUAUUUAUGAAUCAGAGACAAGAUAUUAGCCUCAUCUGUCUAGCUCAGAAACCUGAACCUUAGCAAAGCUGUUAAUCUCAAGCAUGUCAACAUAGUCAAAUAACUCAGAAGCGUAAAGGCUUGUGGCGCUGCUUCUUGUCACUGGUUAGAAUUUCUUAUAUAUCCAUUUCUACCAGGGCUCUCCUUUUAGCCCAUUUGACUUUACUCCUAUGAUGUCUUCUCUCACUUCUAUUUACAAAGAUACAUUCACCUCCAAAAACUCUUAACUAUUUACAGUUUUCUCUUCAAUGCACCAACUUUCAGUUAUUCUAAAUUACUCUAAAACUCCAAAGCAAACACUUCGCUCCUUUACUACUCAAAUAUGUGUGGCUUCUUUGUUUGCUGCUUAGCUGCAAAACAUCAGUUAGCACCCUCAUCCUCCUCUUGGCUGGGGAAUAUGAAUUUUAAGUAUGUUCAAAUUUUAGAUCCAGGUAAUGACGCUUUUCCUCUACAUGCGAUAAUGUGAUCUUCCAAGAAGGCCCAGAAGUCAUUGUUAAAUAAGUGUUAAUAAACAGUUUGUUGUUAUCAUAAUUGCCAUAACCGUUAUGCAGGGAGAAUGGAAAUACUGAUUGGAUAUUUCCAAGAUUGCCAUCCUAAGACCAUUGGUCUUCAACUAAGAGGGAAUAUCUCCAUCUCUUUAGCUAACACAUAGGGCCCUAGAGGGAAGAGGGAUCCAAAAUACCUAGUUGAUAUUCAGCUGUCACCUUCUCCAAACUCAAGAGAUGUCUGUCCCAAUGAGCAGAAAUUCAGGCAAAAAUGCCAGGAGACAUUUGAUGAACUAGAGGUUCCUGGCCAAAUUCAAACACAAAAAGAAAGUGCAGAGAGGGUAGAUACAUGGAUGUGUAACCUGGGAGUAAUACAGAGACAGGGAUGAGGUUAGGAAAUCCAGAGCCCAUUUGGAACUCACUCUGGCCAGUGAUGUCAAAGACAACAGGAAGGGCUUCUGGGUGACAAAAUGUAGAUGGAAAAAUAUGGACCCACUGCUGAAGGAGACGGUGGACUCGAUUAUAUAAGAGGUGGAAACAGCUGAGGUACUGGAUGCCUUCUUUGCUUCAGUCUUUACAAGCAAGAUUGGCCUUGAUGCAUACCAGGCCCCAGAAUGUAGAGGGAAAGUCUGGAGCAAGGAAGAAGUUCUGGUCUGGGAACACAAGCACACUGUACAUACAUAAAUCCAUUGGCUCUGAUGGGAUGUACCCAUGAGCGCUGUGGGAGCUGGAAGAUGUCACUGUUGCAAGAUCACCUUCAAAAACUCUUUAAUGAUCGUGGUUACUGAGAGAGUGCCUGAGGACUGGAGGAAAGCAAAUAUCACUCCUAUCUUCAAGAAAGUCAGGAAGGAAGACCCAGGGCCAGUCGGACUCACCUCAGUCCCUGGGAAAGUGAUGGAGCACAUAAUCCUGGAAACUAUUUCCAAGCACAUGAAGGGCAAGAAUGUGAUCAGGAGUACUCAGCAUGCUUUCACCAAGGGGAAGUCAUGCUUGAACAACCUCAUAAGCUUCUACAAUGAAAUCACUGGCUGGUAGAUGAGGAGAGAGCAGAGGACAUUGUCUACCUGGACUUCGGUAAGGCUUUCAACACUGUCUCCCAUAAGAUUCUCAUAAAGAAGAUAUGUAUGGGCUGGAUGAGCAGACGGGGGUGGAUUUAAAACUGGCUAAACAGCCAGCCCAAGAAGAAAGUGAUCAGUGUUGUAAAGUCUAGUCAGAGACCACUAACUAACAGUGUAUGUCAGUGGUAAAUAUUGAAUCCAGUCCUGUUUAACCUCUUUAUUAAUGAUCUGGAUGAUGGAGCAGAGUGUACCCUCUGCGUCUCUGAAGAUAAUACAAAACUGAAAGGAGAGGUGACCAUAUGGUUGUGCUGACAGUCAGAGGGACCUCAACAAGCUGGAGACAGGGGCUGACCUCAUGAAGCUCAAAAGAGUGAUGCAAAGUCCUGCACCAGGGGAGAAAAAACCAACCCCAUGCACCAAUAUACGCUGGGGGCAAAACAGCUGGAAAGAAGCUAGGCAGAAAACGUCCUGGGGUCCUGAUGGACACCAAGUUGAACAUGAGCUGGAAAAGUGCCCCUGCCACAGAGAAGGCUGUUAGUAUCAUGAGCUACAUUAGACAAAGUAUUGUCAGCAAUUUGAGGAAGGUAUUACUUCCCCUCUCCUCAGCAUUGAUGAGGCCACACCUGGAGUACUGUGCGCAUUUCUGGGCUCCUCAGUACAAGAGACACAUGGACAUACUGGAGAGGGCCACAGAGAUAAUGAAGGGACUGGAGCAACUCUCCUAUGAGGAAAGGCUGAGAGAGCUGGGACUCUUCAGCCUGGAGAAUAUAAGGCCUAGGAGAAUCUUAUCAAUGUAUACAAAUACCUGGAAAGAAGCUGAAAAGAAGACAUAGCUACACUCUCUUCAGUUGUACCUAGUGCCAGGACAAGAGGCAACGGGCACAAACCGAAACACAGGAUGUUGCCUCUCAACAUCAGGAAGCCCUUCUUUACUAUGCAGGUGACUAAGCACUGGUGUUGUUUGCACAUAGAGGUUGCAGAGUCUGGCCCUUUGAAGAUACUCAAAAGCCAUCUGGACAUGAUCCUGGGCAAUUGUCUCUAGGUAUCUCAGCUUGAGCAGAUGGGAUGGACCAGAUGGCCUCCAGAGGUUCCUUCCAACAUAAACCAUCCAUUGAUUCUGAAGUUCUAUGGUUGAUUCAAGAGCUUAAAUUUUAUAUACACUAAUCUCAGAAAACCUCAGUGUGAUACUCAUGUGGCUGUGUUCAAAAGAGGUUGAUAAUUUAAUAGAGCUUGCUACUUUUGAGUAGGAACAUUGAUUAGGGAACUUCCUUUGGUUUUGUUCUAAGUUUGAAAUUGACUGAGGUUUUUUCUUCAUGUUGGAAAACAGAUUUGAGCAGACAAAAUUGAAAAUAUAUUUUGAUGUCUUUCUAUGACACUUACAGUCUACUAGAAAUUUGAUUUGUCUCCAGUGUGCAUAGGGAUGCAGCUUGAACCACCACAUUCAGCAAUGACACUUCUUGGUCUAUGAAUGUGUGAUAACGUUGGUGGUAGGGGAGGUGGUUGGACCAGAUGGUCUUGGAGGUCUUUUCCAACCUUAAUGAUUCUAUGAUUCUAUGAUAUUCAUGACACAAUCAUACAGCAGAAGAAACUGCUCUCUUUCCUUGGGUUGCAAUAUUAUACUUCAAAAUACAGAUUUUUGAAAUGCGUAAGAUUUUUGCCUUCAUAGCAUAGGCAAGUUGAUGUUAAUUAUCUAUUUACUUUCUGCUACAAAAUACUGGUUUUCAUGUAUACUGUUCCCAUUAAAUAUUUGCACCA